RNAcentral lists this ribosomal RNA (369 nucleotides) under uncultured bacterium. Its description in RNAcentral is "bacterial SSU rRNA". It matches the Rfam family "Bacterial small subunit ribosomal RNA", at positions 29 to 399 of the family's 1533-position model. The record is from RNAcentral.
AUUGAACGCUGGCGGCAUGCCUUACACAUGCAAGUCGAACGGCAGCACGGGGGCAACCCUGGUGGCGAGUGGCGAACGGGUGAGUAAUACAUCGGAACGUGCCCCGUAGCGGGGGACAACCAGUCGAAAGACUGGCUAAUACCGCAUACGCCCCACGGAGGAAAGCAGGGGAUCGCAAGACCUUGCACUAUGGGAGCGGCCGAUGCCCGAUUAGCUAGUUGGUGAGGUAAAGGCUCACCAAGGCAACGAUCGGUAGCUGGUCUGAGAGGACGACCAGCCACACUGGGACUGAGACACGGCCCAGACUCCUACGGGAGGCAGCAGUGGGGAAUUUUGGACAAUGGGCGCAAGCCUGAUCCAGCCAUGCCG